UUAAGCGACUAAGCGUACACGGUGGAUGCCCUGGCAGUCAGAGGCGAUGAAGGACGUGCUAAUCUGCGAAAAGCGUCGGUAAGGUGAUAUGAACCGUUAUAGCCGGCGAUGUCCGAAUGGGGAAACCCAGUGCAAUUCGUUGCACUAUCGUUAACUGAAUACAUAGGUUAACGAGGCGAACCGGGGGAACUGAAACAUCUAAGUACCCCGAGGAAAAGAAAUCAACCGAGAUUCCCCCAGUAGCGGCGAGCGAACGGGGAGCAGCCCAGAGUCUGAAUCAGCUUGUGUGUUAGUGGAACGGUCUGGAAAGUCCGACGGUACAGGGUGAUAGUCCCGUACACCAAAAUGCACAGGUUGUGAACUCGAAGAGUAGGGCGGGACACGUGGUAUCCUGUCUGAAUAUGGGGGGACCAUCCUCCAAGGCUAAAUACUCCUGACUGACCGAUAGUGAACCAGUACCGUGAGGGAAAGGCGAAAAGAACCCCGGCGAGGGGAGUGAAAAAGAACCUGAAACCGUGUACGUACAAGCAGUGGGAGCACCUUCGGGUGUGACUGCGUACCUUUUGUAUAAUGGGUCAGCGACUUAUAUUCUGUAGCAAGGUUAACCGUAUAGGGGAGCCGCAGGGAAACCGAGUCUUAACUGGGCGUUAAGUUGCAGGGUAUAGACCCGAAACCCGGUGAUCUAGCCAUGGGCAGGUUGAAGGUUGGGUAACACUAACUGGAGGACCGAACCGACUAAUGUUGAAAAAUUAGCGGAUGACUUGUGGCUGGGGGUGAAAGGCCAAUCAAACCGGGAGAUAGCUGGUUCUCCCCGAAAGCUAUUUAGGUAGCGCCUCGUGAACUCAUCUUCGGGGGUAGAGCACUGUUUCGGCUAGGGGGUCAUCCCGACUUACCAACCCGAUGCAAACUACGAAUACCGAAGAAUGUUAUCACGGGAGACACACGGCGGGUGCUAACGUCCGUCGUGAAGAGGGAAACAACCCAGACCGCCAGCUAAGGUCCCAAAGUCAUGGUUAAGUGGGAAACGAUGUGGGAAGGCACAGACAGCCAGGAUGUUGGCUUAGAAGCAGCCAUCAUUUAAAGAAAGCGUAAUAGCUCACUGGUCGAGUCGGCCUGCGCGGAAGAUGUAACGGGGCUAAACCAUGCACCGAAGCUGCGGCAGCGACACUAUGUGUUGUUGGGUAGGGGAGCGUUCUGUAAGCCUGCGAAGGUGACCUGUGAGGGUUGCUGGAGGUAUCAGAAGUGCGAAUGCUGACAUAAGUAACGAUAAAGCGGGUGAAAAGCCCGCUCGCCGGAAGACCAAGGGUUCCUGUCCAACGUUAAUCGGGGCAGGGUGAGUCGACCCCUAAGGCGAGGCCGAAAGGCGUAGUCGAUGGGAAACAGGUUAAUAUUCCUGUACUUGGUGUUACUGCGAAGGGGGGACGGAGAAGGCUAUGUUAGCCGGGCGACGGUUGUCCCGGUUUAAGCAUGUAGGCUGGUUAUCCAGGCAAAUCCGGAUAAUCAAGGCUGAGGUGUGAUGACGAGGCACUACGGUGCUGAAGUAACAAAUGCCCUGCUUCCAGGAAAAGCCUCUAAGCAUCAGGUAACAUCAAAUCGUACCCCAAACCGACACAGGUGGUCAGGUAGAGAAUACCAAGGCGCUUGAGAGAACUCGGGUGAAGGAACUAGGCAAAAUGGUGCCGUAACUUCGGGAGAAGGCACGCUGGUGUGUAGGUGAAGUCCCUGCGGAUGGAGCUGAGACCAGUCGAAGAUACCAGCUGGCUGCAACUGUUUAUUAAAAACACAGCACUGUGCAAACACGAAAGUGGACGUAUACGGUGUGACGCCUGCCCGGUGCCGGAAGGUUAAUUGAUGGGGUUAUCCGUAAGGAGAAGCUCUUGAUCGAAGCCCCGGUAAACGGCGGCCGUAACUAUAACGGUCCUAAGGUAGCGAAAUUCCUUGUCGGGUAAGUUCCGACCUGCACGAAUGGCGUAAUGAUGGCCAGGCUGUCUCCACCCGAGACUCAGUGAAAUUGAACUCGCUGUGAAGAUGCAGUGUACCCGCGGCAAGACGGAAAGACCCCGUGAACCUUUACUAUAGCUUGACACUGAACAUUGAGCCUUGAUGUGUAGGAUAGGUGGGAGGCUUUGAAGCGUGGACGCCAGUCUGCGUGGAGCCAACCUUGAAAUACCACCCUUUAAUGUUUGAUGUUCUAACGUUGGCCCCUUACCGGGGUUGCGGACAGUGUCUGGUGGGUAGUUUGACUGGGGCGGUCUCCUCCCAAAGCGUAACGGAGGAGCACGAAGGUUAGCUAAUCCUGGUCGGACAUCAGGAGGUUAGUGCAAUGGCAUAAGCUAGCUUGACUGCGAGCGUGACGGCGCGAGCAGGUGCGAAAGCAGGUCAUAGUGAUCCGGUGGUUCUGAAUGGAAGGGCCAUCGCUCAACGGAUAAAAGGUACUCCGGGGAUAACAGGCUGAUACCGCCCAAGAGUUCAUAUCGACGGCGGUGUUUGGCACCUCGAUGUCGGCUCAUCACAUCCUGGGGCUGAAGUAGGUCCCAAGGGUAUGGCUGUUCGCCAUUUAAAGUGGUACGCGAGCUGGGUUUAGAACGUCGUGAGACAGUUCGGUCCCUAUCUGCCGUGGGCGCUGGAGAAUUGAGGGGGGCUGCUCCUAGUACGAGAGGACCGGAGUGGACGCAUCACUGGUGUUCGGGUUGUCAUGCCAAUGGCACUGCCCGGUAGCUAAAUGCGGAAGAGAUAAGUGCUGAAAGCAUCUAAGCACGAAACUUGCCCCGAGAUGAGUUCUCCCUGAGACUUUAAGUCUCCUGAAGGAACGUUAAAGACGAUGACGUUGAUAGGCCGGGUGUGUAAGCGCAGCGAUGCGUUGAGCUAACCGGUACUAAUGAACCGUGAGGCUUAACCUU
Molecule: ribosomal RNA, 2900 nt
Filed under: Klebsiella pneumoniae
Lineage: Bacteria; Pseudomonadati; Pseudomonadota; Gammaproteobacteria; Enterobacterales; Enterobacteriaceae
Description: bacterial LSU rRNA
Rfam family: Bacterial large subunit ribosomal RNA
Source: RNAcentral